UACGGAGGGGGCUAGCGUUAUUCGGAAUUACUGGGCGUAAAGCGCACGUAGGCGGAUUGGAAAGUCAGAUGUGAAAUCCCAGAGCUCAACCUUGGCACUGCCUUUGAAACUCUCAGUCUUGAGGUCGAGAGAGGUGAGUGGAAUUCCGAGUGUAGAGGUGAAAUGCGUAGAUAUUCGGAGGAACACCAGUGGCGAAGGCGACUCGCUGGACAAGUAUUGACGCUGAGGUGCGAAAGCGUGGGGAGCAAACAGG
Molecule: ribosomal RNA, 253 nt
Filed under: uncultured bacterium
Lineage: Bacteria
Description: partial 16S ribosomal RNA
Rfam family: Bacterial small subunit ribosomal RNA
Source: RNAcentral